Molecule: long non-coding RNA, 210 nt
Organism: Pseudoliparis swirei
Lineage: Eukaryota; Metazoa; Chordata; Actinopteri; Perciformes; Liparidae
Exons: 3
Source: RefSeq, a predicted model, not a curated record
GUCGGAGCUGCCGACCCCUGAGGUCCAGGAGCCGUCGGAGCUGCCGGACCCAGAGCCCCAGGACUCGUCGGAGCUGCAGAACCCCGAGGUCCAGAACUCGUCGGAGCUGCCGACCGCUGAGGUCCAGGACCCGUCGGAGCUGCCGUCGAACCCCGAGCCGACCCGUCGGUGGAGGGCCGACUCCGGAUCCCCGGGCCCUGUCAGAGGUAC